UAAAGCUUUUUGAAUCUUGAAUUACAUUUCAUGUUUGUGACAUUUUCCCAGAAAAAUGUUUUAUCAGAUACUUUACUUUUGUGUAUCAACUUUGUUACUUGUACUCCACGAUAGACAAAAGUGCUGCAAUUUUAUUAAGAAACAACAUUAUUUUUUUGUGCAUAUUAUUAUUAAAAUCAUCAAGUGGGAAGAUAUGUCUUUAUUUUUUGUUUUAUAUUUUAUGCAUCUAUAUUUUUAAUUCCUCUUUACCAUUUGCUUUCUUAAUUACUUCAGUAAGAUUUAAAACAUACUUCUGAUAGUGAUGAAGUGGUACUUUGUGAGGGGUAUUUUUGCGUACUUGCAUUUAUACGUAAACACUAAAUACGUAAACUACUGCUAUACUUAGUCUGUCUUACUGUUACUUUUCAAUUCACGGUUUAAUUUAUUACAGCCUCAUUUGACCCUUCGCUUCAAACCUAUUUGAAACUAUGACUGGUAAAAGGUGGAGGCGGAACUCAAGCAUCACUUAGUCUUUAAAUCUGAAUCACAACACUAAACUAAUGUGAGAAUAUAUUGCCUUUACUAUGUGAAGACCAGUCUCCUCCUUAGGCGCAGGCAGCAUAUGCACAUCUCUUAUAGUCAGCCUAGGGCCCAUUUGGGAAAUAAUGAUUAAUACUGCAAACGUGCUGGAUUUCUACACAUCAAUAGAACAACAACAACAAAAAAAAAAAAUCAGUCAGUAUGUGUUCAACCUUCUCAGCACGUGACUGAUGAACAACUCUAUUAUAAUCAUCUCAAAUCACACUAGGAUACUUUCCCCCAGUGUCAGAUAAUGAAGCUGAUUUAGUCACACUAUGCCGAGGUAGUUCUUAGAACACCGAAGGUCAAAACAGGUUUAAUCUGAGCGCAGAACUUGGGAGUGUGGAAGAUCAGUAGGGUUACAUAUUGUAUCAGUGUAAUUUAAUAGGAUUGUUAAGACAGGUACAGCAGGAAUAAAAAUAAAUAAGUACAGUGUGGGUUAAUACGGCGUAAAGAACACAAGUUCUUCAGUUCAGAGGACUCCUGCAAUAAAAAUGAAUUUAGUAUGUUUUUUUUUUUUUAAA
This is a long non-coding RNA of Betta splendens (Siamese fighting fish), 1082 nucleotides long. RefSeq lists it as uncharacterized. Lineage: Eukaryota; Metazoa; Chordata; Actinopteri; Anabantiformes; Osphronemidae. The transcript has 2 exons. The record is from RefSeq and is a predicted model, not a curated record.